GGGGACGGUUUCGCGCGUCCGUGCGUGUUCUCGGUGCCCGUGUUCGACAGCAGCAAAGCUCCAGCACUAGCAAAACAGCAGCAGCAGCAGUAUUUCGGCUUGUCAAGCAGCGCGGCGGCCGCAGUGGUGAAGAAAAAAAACGUGAAUUCUAGUGGACGGUGGUGGUUAACCGCACCGAGAAACACACAUCAUCCGACGGCGGCAGUGUGUGCGAUAGCGCGGAGUGGCCGCACCACAUCAAAAGCAGCGUGUGUAUUGGGCUCGAACUUGCAAACGGCCAUCUAACGAACUGUGGCCGGUUCACGGAAGGCCCAGCGAAAAGGUGUUCGUUGGCUACAAAAAGCUAUAAAAAGUUAGUUUAUAAAUCUAUAAACCAAUCUACGACAGGCAACACUCUUUAGGCCCGGUGUUUGUAAGUGUUUCUUUCGUGGGCCUUUUGGGUGAAAAAAUCGGUUGCCAAAAAAAAGGGAAAAUUGUGUGUUCAGUGCGCGGAAGAAUGGAAAAGUGCGCAAUGUUGUAAGAAUAGUGGGCGAAAUAGCAAAUGAAAGAAAAGAAAAUAUCCAAGCCUACGAGCAAAUGAAAAGUGAGAGUGAAUAAGCGCAAAAAAGGGGUGGUGAGUGAGAGUGAUUGUAGGCGUAAAAAGUGUAGCGGGAGGGAAGAGAUAGAGAGAGAGCGAGAGAAAGAUCGCGAAUAGCGAAACGGCACCGCAGGGAAAAGGAAAAGCAAUGCAAAAGGUGCGAAAGUAAACGCAGGAAAACAAACGGCCUUCCGCUAGUAAUGAAAACGAGGAAAAGUUCCGGUGCUUAAGGCAGCGUUUCUGCUCGGGAGAGCAAAAUUAAAAACGGCGGCAAUGUUCUGUUCCCGUAGUUUCGCAUAAAGGCUAUUUCGCAGUGUGCUACCGUCGUCGUUCGUUUCGAAAAUCGAGUGUCGGAGAGUGCGGGAAUGGUGACGAUGUCAUUGUAAGUUUCCCAGAAGUGCCAGGGAUACCGUCGGAAGGAAGGAAUGGUUGGAAUUUUGAACCACCCGGCUGUGUGAAAAAUAAAAGUUUUCUCCUCAAUACCACCCUUCGGAAUCGGCACAAUCCCAGGCAUGGAUUACGAGGCGUUGCUGUUACUUCUGCUGGCGUAAGGACAUCGAAAACGGCCGUGUGAAGGAUUUUUGUUCGCCACCCGGUAGUGUUCCAGGUCUUCCAGAAGGACCAAACGUCAAAAUCGUCGCUAUUCCUGUUCAGAGGUGUCCUUAAAAGGUGCUACUAACAGUCUUGGGAUCUGGUGUGUUGAUACGCUGUGGAAUUUUACCGAAAGCAGCAAUUCCUUCCCAUCAACCGGCGGCCAUUCGGUGUAAAACGGAACGACGAUGGUGUCGC
Molecule: long non-coding RNA, 1366 nt
Organism: Anopheles nili
Lineage: Eukaryota; Metazoa; Arthropoda; Insecta; Diptera; Culicidae
Exons: 3
Source: RefSeq, a predicted model, not a curated record